This 791-nucleotide long non-coding RNA is filed under the name Manacus vitellinus (golden-collared manakin). RNAcentral describes it as "lncRNA (ENSMVIG00005007539.1)". The record is from RNAcentral. Lineage: Eukaryota; Metazoa; Chordata; Aves; Passeriformes; Pipridae.
AGACUGGAUGGGCUUUAAGAUCCCUUCCCACCCAACCCAUCCCAUGACUCUGUGUUUCUGUGACUCUGUGCCCAUCAGGGACAUGGAGUUGUGCUCCCUCAGGCCACGCAGCCAGUGGGGUCCUGCUCACCCUGUGUGUCCCCACGCUGUGGAUCCCGGGUGCCCUGGAGCCCGACAGCUGGAGGUGCAGGGGCUGGGGGUGUCCCUCACGGGGACACAGGGGUGCUCCAUGUGGGGACAGAGGGAGGUCACCACCUUCAGGCAGCCAUUGGUGACGGUGCCAGUCCGGUGGGUGCCAAUGUCACCAUGGCAACCAACGGCGGGCCCAGCGGGUCAUGGAGGAGCAGGGCAGGACAGGGCCUCGUGUCACCUUCUUCCCACCACCCCAGAGCCGGCGGUUCGAGGGGCCCCGGUAAAACAAUUUGAAGAGGCCAAAAAGAAGACUAAAAGUCUCCACAAACAGCUACAGCAGCAGUUUUUGAAAGACCAGGAGAGAAAGAUGGAGUGGAAAAAGAAAGCGGAGGAACAGUUUAAAAAAUCCCUGGAAGUGUUCGAUCGCAGGAGUGGGAAGGUGCCCGCCCGUCCCACCCGUCCUUCGGCGGCGGCUGAAGCGAAGCCCAAGAAACCAGCGGCUGCUGCCGACAAAAAAAAGAGCAAGAGACGCGUCUAGAGAGCUCCUCCUGCAGGCUGUGCCCCGCUCCGGCCACGGCUUCCAGCCCGCUGGAAUUUUAGGAAGCUAACGGUCCCGUUACAGCAAUAAAUCAGCACAAUCCCUCCCUCUGCCUGGUGUU